CCUACGGGAGGCAGCAGUGGGGAAUAUUGCACAAUGGGGGGAACCCUGAUGCAGCGACGCCGCGUGAGUGAAGAAGUAUUUCGGUAUGUAAAGCUCUAUCAGCAGGGAAGAAGAUGACGGUACCUGACUAAGAAGCCCCGGCUAACUACGUGCCAGCAGCCGCGGUAAUACGUAGGGGGCAAGCGUUAUCCGGAUUUACUGGGUGUAAAGGGAGCGUAGACGGCAGGGCAAGUCUGGAGUGAAAGCCCGGGGCUCAACCCCGGGACUGCUUUGGAAACUGGCAUGCUAGAGUGCUGGAGAGGUAAGCGGAAUUCCUAGUGUAGCGGUGAAAUGCGUAGAUAUUAGGAGGAACACCAGUGGCGAAGGCGGCUUACUGGACAGUAACUGACGUUGAGGCUCGAAAGCGUGGGGAGCAAACAGGAUUAGAUACCCCAGUAGUC
RNAcentral lists this ribosomal RNA (440 nucleotides) under uncultured bacterium. RNAcentral's name for it is "partial 16S ribosomal RNA". It matches the Rfam family "Bacterial small subunit ribosomal RNA", at positions 338 to 795 of the family's 1533-position model. The record is from RNAcentral.